GGAAGGGUCGCAUAGAGGCCUAGUGCGCCUGCUUGGAGAGCAGGUAUACCGAAAGGUAUCGCGAGUUCGAAUCUCGCCCCUUCCG
RNAcentral lists this transfer RNA (85 nucleotides) under Candidatus Uhrbacteria bacterium RIFCSPHIGHO2_01_FULL_46_23. Its description in RNAcentral is "tRNA-Ser". It matches the Rfam family "tRNA". From Rfam's summary of the family: Transfer RNA (tRNA) molecules are approximately 80 nucleotides in length. RNAcentral also lists the same sequence under 5 other names. The record is from RNAcentral. Lineage: Bacteria; Candidatus Uhriibacteriota.